This is a long non-coding RNA of Melanotaenia boesemani (Boeseman's rainbowfish), 498 nucleotides long. RefSeq lists it as uncharacterized. The record is from RefSeq and is a predicted model, not a curated record. The transcript is spliced from 3 exons. NCBI's taxonomy places the organism in Eukaryota, Metazoa, Chordata, Actinopteri, Atheriniformes, Melanotaeniidae.
CUGCUGUGUCACUGGCUUCUUCCAGAAGUGUAUCAACAACCACUGAGCAGAGCUGCAGUAUCAGAUUAAACCAAAGAGAAACAUUUUAAACAAGGAACUAUGCUGUGACUGAUAUUUUCAGCACUGCACUAUGCAACUAACUGGAUAUUUUCCUGCUGUGGUCCUUCUGUGACGGAUGGGGCAUCUACAGGAUACCAGUGUAAAGGGCAGACAGUGUGGACAGUCCAGAGUGAUGAAAAACUAUCCAGUCAGAAUCUGUCAUAAUAGUUCUCCACGGGGUGAACUGAAAAGAUGGCCACAUUUAUCUACCUGCUGUGAAGUUGAUCCAUCUUCAGCAUAACAAUGUUUGCUUCUGUGAUGUGCUGUACUUGUUAUAAUGACGACUUGUCUGAAAGCUCCUUGUUAGGAAGCUGGAUAAUGUCUGACAGCUGACAAGCAUACACCAUGGGCUCUGUUGGGUUCAAUGUUCACUUAUAUGGUAAAAUGUAAUGUGGUGAA